GAUGAACGCUGGCGGCGUGCCUAAUACAUGCAAGUCGAGCGAACGGACGAGAAGCUUGCUUCUCUGAUGUUAGCGGCGGACGGGUGAGUAACACGUGGAUAACCUACCUAUAAGACUGGGAUAACUUCGGGAAACCGGAGCUAAUACCGGAUAAUAUUUUGAACCGCAUGGUUCAAAGGUGAAAGACGGUCUUGCUGUCAGUUAUAGAGGGAUCUGCGCUGCAUUAGCUAGUUGGUAAGGUAACGGCUUACCAAGGGAACGAUGCAUAGCCGACCGGAGAGGGUGAUCGGCCACACUGGAACUGAGACACGGUCCAGACUCCUACGGGAGGCAGCAGUAGGGAAUCUUCCGCAAUGGGCGAAAGCCUGACGGAGCAACGCCGCGUGAGUGAUGAAGGUCUUCGGAUCGUAAAACUCUGUUAUUAGGGAAGAACAUAUGUGUAAGUAACUGUGCACAUCUUGACGGUACCUAAUCAGAAAGCCACGGCUAACUACGUG
RNAcentral lists this ribosomal RNA (497 nucleotides) under uncultured bacterium. Its description in RNAcentral is "partial 16S ribosomal RNA". It matches the Rfam family "Bacterial small subunit ribosomal RNA", at positions 28 to 507 of the family's 1533-position model. The record is from RNAcentral.